This 231-nucleotide long non-coding RNA is filed under the name Prunus dulcis (almond). RNAcentral describes it as "sRNA ncRNA". Lineage: Eukaryota; Viridiplantae; Streptophyta; Magnoliopsida; Rosales; Rosaceae. The record is from RNAcentral.
AUGCUUGUGCCUCUCAAGACUGAUGUUUAUGAGAUGGAUGUUUGGUUUUGGGAGUGUAGGAUCUUCUUAGAUCCAUGGUUUGACCAUAUGAGUUUGAUGCAGCUUUGGCUUCUUCCGGAUUCUCGUCCAUUGGUCUCUGCGGGUGUCUUCACAAACUCUUGUUCUAGUGGUUGUCAUGGUGGUGCUCAUCUUGGCGGCAUCUUCAGCAACGGUAACGACGAUGACUCAUAG